AUGGUCCCCGACAGGGAGAAUUUAUACAGAAGCAAUCUCCGUAAGAGUAAACUUUUCAAACACAAAAUAAAAGAUGUUUCUCUGUCUUGCUGUGGUCAAAUUUUUACAAGACCCAGAAAAAAGAAUAUGUUUUUGCCACUUCAGAAGUCGCAAUUCUGGGUUAUUAAGGAAUUGAUUCUUGCCCAAGAAAUCACAAGUCCUUGUGAUUGCCGAAAAUGUCAUCCAAUGCCACCCUCAGCUGUGCCUCAGAGCUUCAAUUGA
Molecule: long non-coding RNA, 261 nt
Filed under: Macaca mulatta (Rhesus monkey)
Lineage: Eukaryota; Metazoa; Chordata; Mammalia; Primates; Cercopithecidae
Description: lncRNA (ENSMMUG00000057927.1)
Source: RNAcentral